GACGAACGCUGGCGGCGUGCUUAACACAUGCAAGUCGAACGGAAAGGCCCCUUUGGGGGUACUCGAGUGGCGAACGGGUGAGUAACACGUGGGUAACCUGCCCUUGCCUUCGGGAUAACUUCAGGAAACUGGGGCUAAUACCGGUUAGGCAUCCUUCCUGCAUGGGGGGGGUUGGAAAGCUUCGGGGGCUUUGGAUGGGCUGGCGGCUUAUCAGCUUGUUGGUGGGGUAGUGGGUUACCAAGGCUUUGACGGGUAGCGGGACUGUGAGGGCGACCGGCGACACUGGGACUGAGAGAAGGCCCAGACGCCUACGGGAGGCAGCAGUGGGGAAUACUGCACAAGGGGCGGAGGCCUGAUGCAGCAACGCCGCGUGCGGGAUGACGGUCUUCGGGUUGUAAACCGCUUUCAGCAGGGGCGAAGCUUGUGGUGACGGUACCUGCAGAAGAAGCACCGGCUAACUACGUG
RNAcentral lists this ribosomal RNA (465 nucleotides) under uncultured bacterium. Its description in RNAcentral is "partial 16S ribosomal RNA". It matches the Rfam family "Bacterial small subunit ribosomal RNA", at positions 28 to 507 of the family's 1533-position model. The record is from RNAcentral.